GACGAACGCUGGCGGCGUGCUUAACACAUGCCAGUCGAACGGAAAGGCCCUGCUUUUGUGGGGUGCUCGAGUGGCGAACGGGUGAGUAACACGUGAGUAACCUGCCCUUGACUUUGGGAUAACUUCAGGAAACUGGGGCUAAUACCGGAUAGGAGCUCCUGCUGCAUGGUGGGGGUUGGAAAGUUUCGGCGGUUGGGGAUGGACUCGCGGCUUAUCAGCUUGUUGGUGGGGUAGUGGCUUACCAAGGCUUUGACGGGUAGCCGGCCUGAGAGGGUGACCGGCCACAUUGGGACUGAGAUACGGCCCAGACUCCUACGGGAGGCAGCAGUGGGGAAUAUUGCACAAUGGGCGGAAGCCUGAUGCAGCAACGCCGCGUGCGGGAGGACGGCCUUCGGGUUGUAAACCGCUUUCGCCUGUGACGAAGCGUGAGGGACGGUAAUGGGUAAAGAAGCACCGGCUAACUACGU
This 467-nucleotide ribosomal RNA is filed under the name uncultured bacterium. Its description in RNAcentral is "partial 16S ribosomal RNA". It matches the Rfam family "Bacterial small subunit ribosomal RNA", at positions 28 to 506 of the family's 1533-position model. The record is from RNAcentral.